Lycium barbarum (goji berry) is the source of this 1301-nucleotide long non-coding RNA. RefSeq lists it as uncharacterized. The transcript is spliced from 2 exons. The record is from RefSeq and is a predicted model, not a curated record. NCBI's taxonomy places the organism in Eukaryota, Viridiplantae, Streptophyta, Magnoliopsida, Solanales, Solanaceae.
AUCACGGAAAGGAACCUUCGUGCACUUAGAACUCCUCUUAGGUUAGGAGUCUUUAUUCUCUGCCAUUUUUAAGCAUUAAUUUAAAAUUUAAUUCUAUAAAAGAAGCUAUCAUCCUUUAUGAUAUAUCAUGCAAGGGAAUUUUGUGCCUUGGAACUCCUUUUAGGUUUAGGAAUCUCUUCUUUGUUAUAGAAUUUCUUUGUUUUUUUUUAGGUUUAGGUUUGAUGUCUUCUCUAUUUAAGGCAUCUGCGCAUAUCAACCUCAUGAUUAAUACAAGGUUUGAUGUCUUCUCUAUUUAAGAUAUCUGCGUAUAUUAAUCUCAUGAUUAACACAAAGGUACUAGAAUUUCGGUUGCUAUUUUAUAUUAAUGUUGUCUAUUAUAUCAUGUAUAGAGAAUUCAAUUUUUGUGCAGUUUUGGCUUGUCGAAGUAGAAAUCCUUUCGAUUGCUCUCUCGCUUGAGGAACUUAUCAUUUUUGUAGUUCAUUAUCUUUUUUCACAAUUUUUAUUUACAGACGGCACAAAGAAAAUUUUAAGGGAAAAUUUCACAGACCUCCCCUCACGUUUUGCUUCGUUUCACUGGCCUCCCUAAGAUCAUGCUCUUUUAUUAAUUCUUUUUUUUUUUCAAUAUCUCCUUUCUGGAAAACUGAAAAUAAAAUACGUCAAACUGCUCUUCAGUCUUCUCAGCAGUCCCUCUGAGGGCAGAGAGCUCAUUCAAUAGUGAGGCAAAAAGGGCUAUUGCUGCUUUAUUAACUGACAAAUGAGGGUUGAGUUUGGUAGGAAUGAAGUCAAAAGGAACUUGGAAACUUUUAAGAGCUUUUGAAGAGACCAUUUCUUUCUGAACAAUACAAGUGGGGGAGGAUAUAAAAGUAAUAAUAGCACCAUUAUUUGAUGGUAGGAAUAAACUUUAAACAAAAUUGGAACCGGGUUAAUUUGCUGAUUGUGCAAAUAAGUAUGACUAAUGAGGUCAGAGAUAGUAACCCAAGAAUGAUGAAAUAGAUCGGAGCUCACAACCAAGUUUGCCAAAUAGAGCUCUGCUUCUUUGGUGUGUAUUAGAAUAAUACUAUCUCUACUAUGGAUAAACCACCUACUAUAUAUCAGAAGCAGUUCAAGCAGACGAGGAAGGAACAAUUACUACAAAAAAAGUCCAGUGUUUUGGUGUAACAAACUGAGUAGUUUUGAAUUUUUUUGUGUACUGACUACUACUCAUGCACAUGCUACUACUUCUGUAACGACGUAAUGUCAAUAAAAUUGUUUUGUUGAUCAAAACAACAAGAAUAUGGUUAUAUAAUGCAAUUAUUUUUGGA